GCCCUCGCGCUGCAGGCGCACCGCGGCUCGUGCCAGAAUGAAGAUGGCUUCCUGUCCCGCUAGCGUCACGUCGGGAUCUGCCUUCACCAAGGCCUUCACUCGCGCCAGAGGCAACCUCGAGAGACGAGCCCCAGGCACACUCGUUGGGGCCUGGGGCUGCGAGGCCGCUGCCUCCCCAGCAGGCCAUUAUAACUACAUUCUUAGAAUGUGAUCCCUUUCAACAUUUCCUGCACCUCUGCUUCUGCACACUACCACCAAAAGACAAGAAAGGCAAGGAGACGUGACUGGAGCAAGAAAAACAGUGUUUUUCACACAAGGAUGUCCACUCCUUGUUGGGAAUGGCUUAAGAUCGACCUGGGAAAGCAAAACAUCGCCAUAUCAUUUGGAGGAAAGGCACUGGUUGGAAGAGCCUGUUGGCGUGGCAAAGCCAAGGUCUUUAAAGUCCUCAGAGAAGGCAGGCAUAGCCACCACUGGAGGACUUCCUGAUAUGUGGUACAGAGACUGAUGAGGGCAUGGGGUGACAACCUUAGGUGCCAACAGCAAGGGGAUGGAUAUACAGGGUAAAGGAGGCUUGCUGCCAUCCUACGCCUUUGAACGCCACAAAUCAGAGAUGGUACCAUGGAGGAACAUGAACAGGUGAGAGCUGAGGCAUGGGUGCCCACACACAGCCCAAGCCCAGGUGCUAACAGUUGACCAUCAGUAGCCCAGUGCCCCGAAUUCAUCCUGCGCCUGAUUAUCACCCAAAAGCAGUGCAUCGGCACCAUUCUGGUGACUCAAUAUCACACAAUGGCACCAGCCAGCAGGAACAAUCCAAUUGCCAGGCUGCCCUCCUGCACAGAGCCCAAGCCACAGAGCCCUCAGAUAACUCCAUUGAUGCAAAUCUCAGAGUUCCUCAAGGAAACAGGUCAACCCUGCACAUGGAGUGGAGAUUCAGAAAGGCCCCAAAAAGGAAAAAAACAAGGAUCAGUGUCCAUGUAUGUCCCUGUAUGGGGCUGCCAUUUGUCCUAACCACCCUGGGGUCUGCCAUAGCUGAGCCAGCCCUACUGGAAGAGGAUAGUCAAAUAACCUCACUCGUAUUCUUUUGCCACUUACUGUGUUGCCCUAGCUUCCCUCCAGGGGAUCCUCAUUUUGUCCUAGGCUCAACCUUACCUUUGAUCACUUUAGGACUCAGGCACAAGAUUUCACAUUGCUGGGAAUCCAUUUUCAGUCUUUGAAAAGACACAGUGAUUCUUCAGGAAGUUUGUUAUCCCAAAGAUGCAACAGAGACAGAAUUUCCCAGCUUGAAGGGAUUUGAAACAUCCAUAAAGUUACAGAAAUUCAUAUCUGGAGGAGUCUUAACGGUCAUUCAGACCAACGCUUUCUCGGGUAUCUAUAACAUCCAAUGCCCUAGUUUCCCUGCUGUCUUUUUUGGCCACUCCUUUUCAAUCUCCUUUGCAGGCUACCCUUUACAGGGCUCAGUCUCCACACUCUUUUGUUCUAGAUUUUCCCCUGGUGACCUCACCGAGGCCUACAGCUUUAAAUACCAUCCAUAUGCUGAUAAUUCCCAAAUUUAUAUUUCCAGUCCCAAGCUCUCCACUGAGUUUCAGGCUCAUAUAUCCAAAUGUCUACUUCUUGCCUUCAGUAUACCUUACAAACCUCUCAAGUUUGACGUGCCUAGAACUGGACUCUGGAUUUUACCUUUUGCCCGUAUCAACAAGUUCCUCUCUUAGUCUUCCAAUCACAGAAAGGGCUCCACCAUCAAGAUGGACAUGAGCCUAAAACCCAAGAAUUCUUGUUUCCUGCCUUCCUUUCCUUCUCUCACAUUCAGUCUCCUGGUAGACUUGUUCAUUUACUUCCACCAUUUCUAUCUACUUCUUUUCAUCUCCAGUGCCAACAUUCUUGUCCAAGCCAUCACUCUCUCUCCCCAAACCACUCCAAUAGCAUCCUAACUGGUUUUCCCUACCCUUAUCUCACCUCAAUCCAUUCUCUGCAUAUUAGCUGGAGUGAUCCUUUCAAGAAGUGAAUACAAACCUUAAAUCUUUCAACAGCCCUCACUGCAUCCAGAAUAAAAUCCAAGCACCUAUAACUGCCUAAUAUGGCUUCUGUCCACAUCUAACCUCAAAUCUUACCUUCUGCCCUUGCUGUGCUCAAGCCUUUCUGGCCUUUCAUUUCCUUAAACACACCAAGCCUUUCCAGCAUCAGAGACUUUACAAUUCUUCCUGGAAUGCUCUUCCACUAAUUUCUUUAGGUCAUAGUUUGUGGUCAUUUGAAAACAUGUCCACAAAUUCUUUUCUAUCCUAAAAAAAGGGGGAAUCCAAUUCCCCUCCUCUUGAACAUGGACUAGCCUCAGUGGCUUGCUACUAAUGAAUUAAAUGGUAUAGAAGUGACUGUAACUUCUUAGACUAGGUGACCAAAGAUGGCACAGCCUCCACCUGGUUCUCUGUCUUGUGAGGCUCACCCUUGGAACCCAGCCAUCAUGCUGUGACAAAGCCAUGUACCACAUGCAGGUGUUUCGGGGAACAGACCUGUCAGAGGUCCUUGCCAACAGCCAACAUCAGUCAGCAUCAACCACUAGACAUGUAAGUGAGGAAGCCUCCAGAUGAUUCCAGUUCCCACCUUCAGCUGAUGUUAGGUGGAGCAGAGACAUGCUGUCCCCACCUGCCUAAACUGCAGAUUCAUGAGUAAUGUAAUUUCUGUCAUUGUUUUAAGCCAUUAAGUUUUGGGGCAGUUUGUCACACAGCAAUAGACAACUGGAACACAGCUCAUAUGCCCCUUCUCAGAACUGCCCUCCCUGAUCAUCCUAAGUGCCCAUUGGCAUUAUCCAUAACCUGAAAAUUAUUAUGAUUGAUCCUAAAGUCCAGCCUGGUGCCUGGCACGUAGGAGAUGCUCAGUGAAUAUUUGUGGAAUGAUUGAAUAAGGAAAUGAAUCCUCUUGUCACAUUUGAAGUUAUCAGUCAUCAAUAAAAUGGGGAUUUGUUUCAUCGUUUGCAGGGUGAUGACAUCAAACUCAAUUCGGAGAGAGGAAAGGGUAGUUAUGAAGCAUGCUCCACUGGUGCUGCUGGAUAGUGAGGGUGGGCAGACUUGACGACCACCAGUCCAGGACCUAGACAGCCUGAAGACACGGGGGCCUGAAAAGGUAGUUGGGGAUGCCCAAAGAAUGCUAGUCCUGGUGCCAAUGCAGCAGACAGUCACCUUGUCUGUUGUCGAGUAAACAAGUGCCUCCUCUUGGGCCUGUGAUGCCUGCCAGCACAUGUCUUUCUCAGAGGUGGGCAUAUUCUCUAUUUGGGAAACAAUGGGUAGAGGGAUUGAAGCAGGAGAAGUUUCAGAGAAUCACUCUUGCAAGAGAUGCUGCACUCUGGCAGACUCGAUAAUGACAAAUAUGUCAAGCAACUGAGUUUCAGCAGGGUUCCUUCGGGCCUUGUUCACCAACUUGUGGUUUCCGUGGUGACAGGACAGCUGCCAGGUAGAUGGCGGCUUUGGGGCCACCUGACUGGCUCUGACGAUAACUGGCUUUGACAGCUUUGAUUGGAAUGAAAAGAUUUAGGGUCCCUACUGGCUUUCUUAAAUUAAACCCUCCCUCCUGGAGUUAGCUUGUUUAUCAACAUUAUCUUAGAUUAGGGGACUUUCUUGUGAUCAGAGAGUUCUUUUACCACGAUGGUUCACAUGUUGGGGCCACUGGCAGGGUUUCUGAGAUCAGGGUCCUCGGAGCAGCACAGAGAGGUAAGGCUACACCCUGAUGUGCUUCUCAGGCAAUGCCUCCAAGGGGCAUGUUAACAGUCAGAUCUAGUUAGGAAAGAAAACAGGAAAAGGACCUGCAUUUUAACAGAAAUAAUUUAAUCUAGGCAAUUGAGUAAGCAGGUAUUAGAGGCUGAAAGGCAAAAAGGAAGUAUCAAGAUAAACACAGGGAUGGUAACUGCCAGAGGCAGCUCUACCUCUGGGGCUGAAGAACACAGGGAAGAUACUGGGGUUGCAAUAAUUUCAAAGCUUGGAAGAGGAGCCCUGCGGAGCUGGGACCUAGGCUUCUAAGGAGCGGCGACUGCACAGUAUCUGUGAGGCUGGAUUUGAGAGUCCAGAAAAUGUUGAAGACUGGAACCCAUUGCUAUUGAGGUAAAUAACAUCUUUGUGUGGCGUGUUGCAGCUGUCACAGCCGCCAGCAGACAGCCGACUCCCUCACCAGUAAACACCGCGGCUUAGGUGUUGCCCACCGGGCACCGGAAGGCGGCCCCCUUCUCGCUCUCCAGUGAAUGUUCCUAAAACAACUGCGGGGUCCAAGAGCACAGGGAGAACAGCGCCCCUGACGCAGGCUGCGCACCCGCCCGGAGGAGGCAGUGCGUCAGUCCUGAGGUCACCGCCACCCGCUCCCGGGGGACGGCCGCCUGGGCAGGUGAGGAGGCGACCACCUCCCAGACGCCUGCCGGAGCUGCGGCGCACCGACUCCCUGCUUCUCCGAGCGGCGAGCGCCACCUGGAGGCUCCCUCGAGAUCUGCAUUUAGGAGGCGACGGGUCCUUUCAUCGUUUUAUUCAUUAAACAUUUAUCGAGGCCUGGAGCGAUGGUUCAAGCCUGUAAUCCCAGCACUUUGGGAGACCGAGACGGGCGGAUCACUUGAGGUCAGGAGUUGGAGACCAGCCUGGCCAACAUGGCGAAACCCCAUCUCUACUAAAAAUACAAAAAUUAGCCGGGCACGGUGGCGCACACCUGUAAUCCCAGCUACUCAUGAUGAGGCUGAGGCACAAGAAUCGCUUGAACCCGAGAGGCGGAAGUUGCAGUGAGCGGAGAUGGAGCCACUGUGUGUUAGGCUCUGGCGACGUGGGGAGAAAUAAAGAUAAUGUCUUGUUUCCCAGGGCAUUAAUAGCGUGAUGGGGAAGACAGGCCAUCAACAAUGUGCAACACUAAGGGCUAGGAAAGAGGUGGAUACAAAGGAGGGAAUAAGGAAUGUGGUCAUUCCUUAAGGUGUUUAUUGGUGCCAGGUACUGUUCAAGGCACCAAAAAGAAUGGAACCAAACAGAGAUCCUGCUCCCAAAGAGCUCAUAGUGGAAGGACAGCCAGACAAGCUUAGAAUUACGGGACAGGCCUAAGAAGGAGCCAGACUGGGGACCAGAGGCGUCCGAAGGGAAGUCCAGGAAGUACCGCAGGAAAACGUGAUAUAUAUUAAAUCUUAAAGAAUGGGCAGGAUUUUGCCAGGCUUAGUGACAAGAUAUCUUCCGUAAAAUCGUGGAACUGAAAAGAAAGGAUAUAGGUUGAAGAAGGGCUAGUUCUGUGUCUGAAAUAGAAGGAACAUGAAAGAGAAGUGCUGGGACAUGGGGCAAAAAAGGGAGUUUGGGGCCAGAUCGUGAAAGCCUUGGUUUAACAGGUGAAAAGUUCAAAUUUGAUCCAGGUAGCUGGCAGAGUCAGAGGUUCUAAAGCAGAGACCUGCUCUAUAGAAAGCUCACCAUGAAGUACAGCAGUGAUGGUGGAUGAAGAUACCAACAGCUCAACCUCCUAUGUGCCAGGGAAAUGCUGAGCGCUUAGCACCUGAUAUUUAUCUUAAUUCUCUAAAUGGGCCUAUGGGGUAAGCAUAUUAUUAUCCCAAUUUUAUUGGAAUACUUCCCUGGUAGGGCCCCUAAACAGGUAGCCAUCAAAUGCCUGAUAAAUUCCAGCUAGCUUUAAAUUCUAGUCGCUACAGAGCAGAGCCCUUCCAUCGCACUGAGCUGAAGGAGCCAGAUGGGCAUUACAGACAAGACCCACUCAGUAGGUGAAAUCAACAGAGCCUAAUGACUAUCUAGAUCUGCAAGAUGAAGAAUAGGAAAGAGCUAAAGACAAGAUUAUGAUGAAAAGUUUGAUUUUGAAAUAAUACAUUUUUAAGAGCUGAGAAAAACCGUAUCCAUCAUCCAGAACAACCGCCUAUUCUACCCACACUCCCAGCACCACAUCAGUACACGUGUGCCUGUACUCACCAUUCUGCCUUGCCUCCUGCUGGCAUGGACGAGUGCUGCGUGUUCCUAAGUGCCACCUUCCGCUGUGCACUCGAUCCCAUCCUCGCGCCCACGCAAGAACAUCGCUUCAUCAAUUGGUCCUUCUCUCACAUAUGAAAUUUUUGGUCUUUCUACUGAGUCAUUCCCAUAAAUAUACAUGUGUACUACAAUUUCUCUCAUCGUAAAAAAUAAUAAAAAUAUUUCCUUGACCUCAAAUCUCAUACCCCUGCCAUUCAAUUACACCAAUCCUCUCCAAAAGAGUUAUUUAUACUCAAACUCCACUUUCUCUCCUCUCGUUCUUUCUUGAACCCACUUCAGUUUCAUUCUCACAACUUCACCACAAUUACUCUUCAGGUCCACAUUGCAAAUCCAACGGUCAGUUGAGAGUCCUCAUCUUAGAUGACCUGUCAGCAGACUUCCACACAGUUGAGCCUAUUCACUCAAGUGCCUAAGGCUAUGCACAUUCUUCUCUACUGACACUCACUUCCUCGUGAUCCUGCCUGGCCUCACGUUUACAACUCCGAAUAUAUUCUUUCCAGCCUGAACUCUCCUCUGAACUUCAGACCCAUACAUCCCCAACUGCUGACUCAAUAUCUGCACGUGGAUGCCUAAUGCGUUCAAACGUAGCAUGUCCAAAAGCAAAUUCCUAAUCCUCCCCCUUCAAACCUUUUGCUCCCAUUUGCUCCCACAGCCUUUUCCAUCUCAAUAAAUCAAAACUCUAAUCUUCCAGUUGUUCAGAAUAAAUGCUGUCAUCAUGUUAUCUGUAUUUGUCGAUAUAAAUUAGGUGAUGCUUCCGUAGCAAAGAACCCCAAAAACACCACAAAUGUUCAUGUUUUUGCUGAUGUCCAGGCUGAGUUGACAGGAGACUCUACUCAUCAGUUUCACUGAGGGACUAAGGCUGACGGAGG
RNAcentral lists this long non-coding RNA (6838 nucleotides) under Homo sapiens (human). RNAcentral describes it as "HSALNT0303670". The record is from RNAcentral. Lineage: Eukaryota; Metazoa; Chordata; Mammalia; Primates; Hominidae.